GCCUACGGGGGGCAGCAGUAGGGAAUCUUCCACAAUGGGCGAAAGCCUGAUGGAGCAACGCCGCGCGGGUGAAGAAGGUCUUCGGAUCGUAAAACCCUGUUGUUAGAGAAGAAAGUGCGUGAGAGUAACUGUUCACGUUUCGACGGUAUCUAACCAGAAAGCCACGGCUAACUACGUGCCAGCAGCCGCGGUAAUACGUAGGUGGCAAGCGUUAUCCGGAUUUAUUGGGCGUAAAGGGAACGCAGGCGGUCUUUUAAGUCUGAUGUGAAAGCCUUCGGCUUAACCGGAGUAGUGCAUUGGAAACU
RNAcentral lists this ribosomal RNA (305 nucleotides) under uncultured bacterium. Its description in RNAcentral is "bacterial SSU rRNA". It matches the Rfam family "Bacterial small subunit ribosomal RNA", at positions 337 to 634 of the family's 1533-position model. The record is from RNAcentral.